AACCCCGGCGCGCCGAGGGGGACGGGAGCGGCGCCCGCCCGCCGGGGAUGACACGAAGGCCAGAUUUGGAAGCGAAACCGCCGGGCGAUGAGGGGUUGUGCAAUACUCCGUUUCUGUCCCUGGCCUUUUAAGCAGUUAAGGGCUCCUCCUGGCACCGUUUGAGCAACUUGCAGCAGAAAGCUGCGUGGUGAGGACAACUUCUCCUUGCAGUGAUUUAUUAAGAACAAGCACGGGCGGGACGGGGUCCAGCCCAGCCGAAGACACCCACUACACCCGGCCCCGCCCACUCCACAGCCGCCAGCAGUUCCGUGCAAGCUCGGAGGAGAACCCGGGACCCGGAGCUGGGCCGAGACAGCAGUGAGCCUUUGUAUGAACUGGAAGGAAACAAUCUCCUGGGGAGACAGACUGCUAAGACCAGACCUUGGACAGUAGAAGGUACAAGAGAAGGUAGCUUUAUCCAAAGAAGACGCCCCUUCCUCAAAGUGGAUGAAGCUUAUACAUCUGCCACUACCUUUUUCACAGCCUGGAAAAAGAGUACAGAAGAAAGCAUACAUACCAGAAGUCUAAAUAUUUAAAAAUUUCAGGUCAAUCUAACUAUUAAAUAAAAUUUA
Molecule: long non-coding RNA, 611 nt
Organism: Fukomys damarensis (Damara mole-rat)
Lineage: Eukaryota; Metazoa; Chordata; Mammalia; Rodentia; Bathyergidae
Exons: 3
Source: RefSeq, a predicted model, not a curated record